This is an RNA transcript of Xyrauchen texanus (razorback sucker), 4680 nucleotides long. It is a transcript of the gene named zinc finger protein 608-like, with no coding region annotated. The record is from RefSeq and is a predicted model, not a curated record. NCBI's taxonomy places the organism in Eukaryota, Metazoa, Chordata, Actinopteri, Cypriniformes, Catostomidae. The transcript has 9 exons.
CCAUCCUCUUGAGUCUUGAUUGAGGAUUCAUCACCGUUUUCUGUCACAAAUCUGUGUGGAGAAUGUCAGUCGGUUCCUCCGUUCAGCAGAGCAUCAAGCCACACGGAGUUGAUCCCGACGACAGCGGUGAUGACUGGGAGAUCGGUGUGGGGAAUCUAAUCAUCGACCUGGACGCGGAUUUGGAGAAAGAAAGACAGAGAUCGGAGAUGAAUCGCGUUUCGAGCGUUAAAAGCAGCGCGGCGGAAGGUCGUGUGGAGCUCGAGUGCAGUUGCGCGGGUGCAGCGGAUGCGUUUGACGGCCCGAUGAGAGCCGGAGAGCCGCAGCAGGGAUAUCUGUGCAAAGAGCCCAAGAAAUUCAAGCUGAAAAGGCGAAAUUCCUCGAAUGACACUGACAGAUCGCCCUCGCUGGAGAUUCCUAAAGUAUGCGUCGGUAAACGGAGGGAGGCUCAAGGACGCCCCGGAGAGGCUCCAGAGAUGAAUUCAGCACCACCGGCGGUGGACAGCUCCAGCGACGCGACUAAAGGCAAAGACGGCAAGAGAGGGAAGAAUCAAGGCAAAGGGCUGAAAAGAGAGAAAGAAUCCGCCAGGACGCGGAAAGAGAAGCUCGCUGAUGAUUUGGGAUCGCAGUCAGAGAAUGGAUGCGCUGUCGGAGGGACCGAGAAUCUCCUCGGUAGGGGCGGAAUGGACGCGGCUAUUGUCGAACGCACUGACGACACGAACACACCAGAACACGACCUGAAGACGUUGAGUGUUAAGACACGGUCAGUUGGAACAAACACACAAGAAACAGAGAAAACCAUCGAGUCCAGCGACAUGGAGCCAUGCCAACCAGGAACGAGCGUCAAUCUGGAGGGCAUUGUGUGGCAUGAAACAGAAGAAGGGGUUCUAGUUGUGAAUGUCACAUGGAGGAAAAGGACCUAUGUGGGAACACUCUUGGACUGUACCAAGCAUAACUGGGCCCCACCACGGUUUUGUGAGUCACCGAUGAGUGACUCGGACAUGCCCUGUGCGCGUGGACGUGGUAAACGAAUGCGGUUGGCUAUACCAGAUCAACCCGGUGUUGACCCGAGUCUUUCCAAAAUAAGGGGACUAACUCACAAGAGACGUGGCGUGGGAAUCGGCAACAAAGGAAGGCGAGGGAGUCUGAACCUCACCGGCUGUAGAACACCUGGAUACUAUGGCGUCGAGGACAAUCUACUUACAUGUGGAAAAAGAAAAGGCAAAGCUCUAGCCGAUCUAGAUUUAAGCUUGGUCUCGGAGGACAUUAGGAAUGGAAAUGGAAAAAGGAUGCGAGCCAAAUCCAGGAGCGCUCCAUCCACCCCACAGGGUAAAUCCGACCCAGUGUUUCUUGAUCAAGUUUGUGGAUCCCCGAUGCUAAUAGACUGUCCGCAUCCAAACUGUAACAAGAAGUACAAACACAUCAAUGGGCUCCGAUACCACCAGUCUCAUGCUCACUUGAACAGCGAAAGCAAGCAAGAGUUUGAGGUGGAGAGCGAGGACAGACUCUCUGAUUUUGAUGAUCCACUCAGCUCGGUACCUUUUGAUUCUUCCAUGAAUAUUCUCUCCAAGAAGCCCAGAACCAUGUUUAAACUCAAUUCAAUUGGUUCUCCAAAGAGCAGGAAAGCAUUGCUCAACAACAUUAACAGUCCCAUAGCCAAUGCUAAAUUACGCAGGAACGUGGGGAGUAAGGAUGGCUCUAUAGAUGACCUGAGCAACUUACCGCUCAUUUCAAACAUGUCGGUUGUCCUUGAGAACUGCCUCAUUACGGAUCGUAACACAUCUGUGGAGAUGCCCAAGCUCGAAGCAGAGGGUGCAAUUGAUAAAAGGGACAUCUGUAGCAAAGUUAAAAAGGAUAGUGGCUUCACUGAAAGAUGCUCAGCUAAGUCCCGGACCAACAGAAUCAUUACUGGCGCUCCUGCUCCCCCAAAACUGACUGCGAUUUCACCCGCUGCAUUCUCUGCUAAAGAGGAUUCUUCCCAUCAGAACUCUACAACUGCUGCUCUCACAAAGGCCAAGAAUCUCUCCCUGAAACCCAUCAAGCCAAAGCUGGACAUUAUUGCACAAGUUAACAUGGCCAAUACUCCCACCACCCUGAGUAAAGAGAGUAAGAAAAAGGACAAGAAUCGAUCGAAGGACAGAAAUUGCAAAGAUCCACAGAGUCCUAAAAGCGACCCAAUGUACACAAAAACGGACGAAGCCAAGAGUGUCGGGAAAGACUUCCCUGUAAGCCUCUUGAAAGAGCAUUUGAGCAAACAGGAUGUUGUAAAUUGGCCAGGUGAAUCGCAAGAAAGCCGCAUGGCAAGUAUUAGAGCGGAAGCGGACAAGGUGUACACUUUUUCCGACAACGCACCAAGUCCCUCCAUCGGAAGCUCUGCUAGAAUGGACUGUGGCCCCCUUACAAACGGAGAUGGAGCCACUGCGAAAACAAACAGCCCGGCAUACUCCGACAUAUCAGAUGCCACCGAAGAUGGAGGAUCAAACUCGAGAUCUAGAAGAAACUCGAUGCAUGACUCGAACCCAAACAGCAACAUCAAUCUUAAAAUUCCCUCACUGAAUUCAGCAGUCACAGUAACCCCAGGUAAAGAGGUCCAGUCAACGUCUCACGGCCAUGGAUAUGAAUCUCAUUGUAUGCCCGGGUACAUGCACUCUGGACAAGCAAACUCCUCUUCAUUCCUGAAGGUGGCCUCACAUUAUGGUCGGACAAAGGAUGAACUGAGAGACUUAAAUGAGGAUAUCAAAAGCUCAGAUUCCUCUACUCAAUCACAGCUUCAGUAUCCUGUGAGUGAAACGCACACAGCACUUGCUCAGUCCUUGUACUAUGGGCAGUACAGUCGUGGUGUUUCCAUGGACCAGAAAGUUCUGGUGAUGCCCAGCACCCACAGACAACUCCCUGAAACGUGCUGUGAGGAAAUCCAGUACAGCAAGCAGAGUAGAGGUCAAGUUAGACGUGGAUCUGAGCAGAAAGAGCGAACAAAGGAAGACCAAAAGCAAUUUAUUAAUAAGGGGGCAAACUCAGCCAAAAUGAACUGUACAAAACCCGGGUUUAUCUAUGUGGAAUUGGACAAGCAUCUGUCGUUUCAGCAGCAGCAACAGGGGAAGUCGUCCCAUAUCUCCAUGACAAAAGAUCAAGGGGUUAACAAGGAAUCUGAAGACCUCAGUUUGGAGAGUUCAAACUCCAAAUCAAAUGUGGACACAAAUGUAACAUUUCUAAAUGCUUCAGAAUCUCAGUCCUGGAGCCACUUUUAUCAGUCCAAAUAUGUGAAGCUGCAAAAUCAAGAGGUUAACAAGAUGUCUGAGGAACUGAGUCUCAGUCCAGACAAGGGGAAAGAUUGGCACGUUCCACUGGAGCCAGAGUCCAGACUGGAGACCGAACUCCAGAGCGUCAAGUGUGAGACCGCUGCUGAUGUCACGGAGGACAGUAUCGGACCAGACGGGGACGAGAUGGUGGGAGAAUUAUCUGAAGACUCACAAACCGCAAGAGGGGCUGCAUCAUCACCUCAGCAGUCCUUUAUCCAGUUUCAGCACUCCUACCCGUAUUUACAUCUGUGUGACUCCAGCAGCAGCGCUUACAGAGUGAUGUCUCCAGCUUUAGUGCACAAUUACCCAGGUUUCCAUUACCCUCUAUAUGGAAAAACAGCGGGGAGAGAGGACUCAGAUGGGGCUCAAAGCAGCAAACCAGUGACAGAUUCGACUGCAUUAGAGCUUCUGUCACAUCCUCUCUUGCCUUAUCAUGGCACAUCUCCUGUGCCUGGAGAACGAGGAUCUCCGAAGCAGGACAGAGAAACUGAAAGGGAGAGAAAAGCGGUACCAUUCGGCCGUCACCUUCAGACGCAUCACCUGACUCAACUGGGCAUGAGCUACACGCUGGUGUCGGGCCAGUAUGACCCAUUUCAAGGUGAAAAGGUUUGAACACCGCGGCGCUGGUUGCUAACCAGCAAGUGACGACAACACAGACCUGCUCCAGUGAAAAUGACGGGAAGAUCUGAGAUAUUCCCGACCCACGGACAUCAAUCACAUGGUGUUUCUCAUCGUCUCCAUUGGAGGCAGCGACUAAUUAAUGUCUAACCAAUGAAUGUAUUAAUGAAGAAAGACUGCAGUCCUGUCAGUGGAACUAUAUACUGUACAUACAUGUAUACAUAUAUAUAUAUAUAUAUCUCAGUAUGUGCUGAUUUAUGAUGACAAGCACUGUAUAAACCCUCUCUGCCUGUAAAUGCUUCAUCUAGCUGUUUGUAUGCACUUAUAUAGUUGUGUAAUCAUACUAUUGAAUGUAUUUGCUAUUUCCUCACCUCUGUGUGGUAAAGGACAGUGCGCAAUAGAGUACAAGUGAUGUACGGUGCAAACAUAUUAUCAUGAAUAUACUGUUAUUAACAGCCAUUCAUCUGUUGUAUUGUACACAGUGGACAUUAAGCGACAGAUCAUCUCAUUGCCAUACAGUAUUAUUGUGAUGUAUAUAGAUGUACAUAGUUUAACAAAGCUCAGCAGCGACUAUAACUAGCUUAUGUACCUUUGUAUUGAUUCAGUGCAAUGUAUACGGUUGUCUACCCACCUCACUUACACGGCAGACGUGUUGCUUUGUAACUUCAAUAGUGAUCCAGAACUGAAUCUGUUUUCCCGUCAUUAGGUUACACCAUCAAACUGCUGUUGCUUUUUAUACUGUAUCUGCCUUAAUAUGUUUGGCAAU